UUUAAUAUGCAAUAUGACCCUGCAACCCAAGACCGGUUACUCACUGAAGCUAAGCAGGGCUGAGCCUGGUCAGUACCUGGAUGGAAGACCACAUGGGAAAACUAGGCUGCUAUUGGAA
This 118-nucleotide ribosomal RNA is filed under the name Danio rerio (zebrafish). Lineage: Eukaryota; Metazoa; Chordata; Actinopteri; Cypriniformes; Danionidae. The record is from RNAcentral.